RNAcentral lists this transfer RNA (76 nucleotides) under Bacilli bacterium. Its description in RNAcentral is "tRNA-Lys". It matches the Rfam family "tRNA". From Rfam's summary of the family: Transfer RNA (tRNA) molecules are approximately 80 nucleotides in length. Their secondary structure includes four short double-helical elements and three loops (D, anti-codon, and T loops). Lineage: Bacteria; Bacillati; Bacillota; Bacilli. The record is from RNAcentral.
GGACUGUUAGCUCAGCUGGUAGAGCAACUGACUCUUAAUCAGUGGGUCUAGGGUUCGAUUCCCUAACAGUCCACCA